This 397-nucleotide ribosomal RNA is filed under the name uncultured bacterium. Its description in RNAcentral is "bacterial SSU rRNA". It matches the Rfam family "Bacterial small subunit ribosomal RNA", at positions 28 to 429 of the family's 1533-position model. The record is from RNAcentral.
AUUGAACGCUGGCGGCGUGGAUAAGACAUGCAAGUCGAGCGGAAAGGCCCUUCGGGGUACUCGAGCGGCGAACGGGUGAGUAACACGUGAGUAACCUGCCUUCAGCUUUGGGAUAACCCUCGGAAACGGGGGCUAAUACCGGAUAUGACUUCUGCCCGCAUGGGUGGUGGUGGAAAGUUUUUCGGUUCGUGGAGUGGGCGUCGCGGCCUAUCAGCUUGUUGGUGGGGUGAUGGCCUACCAAGGCGACGACGGGUAGCCGGCCUGAGAGGCGACCGGCCACACUGGGACUGAGACACGGCCCAGACUCCUACGGGAGGCAGCAGUGGGGAAGUAUUGCACAAUGGGCGGAAGCCUGAUGCAGCGACGCCGCGUGAGGGAUGACGGCCUCGGUUGUAAC